UGUGAUCUCUGUUCCCCUUUUUAAAUAAAGCAUAUUAGAUAUUCAUACAAUUGAGAGGCGAUAUCAUCCAACAACACACCCACACACACACUUAUAUAAAAACUUGCAGUCGGCAAAUGAGUUUCACACACUGCAAUCGAUCAACUCUACAGGUGUAACACCAGGGCAGCGGGUUUUGAUUCCGACGAGUUGCUCCACGCGAGGUUCGCUUCGCAGAGGUUUGGUUCGUGACCUCCGAGAAGACGUCUCAUACGCAGACACUCACUGCGGACAAAGGGUAUAAAUAUCAGAAGACAUCAUCUAAUACCCUCAGCCGUGCAAAUCCAUCCAUGUGUAUGAUAUGCCUCCAUUCUGGGAUAAGCGCCUCCAGCAGCGCCGCGUCUUCUUCCGCGAGCCUCCCGAAGAGACUUUUGAUUGGCUGCGGGUGACAUCAUCCCGGCUCCUUCGCUGGGACUCGGGAGGCGGCGUCAAGCGACGUCCCCCUCUCUCUUCCCCUCCUCCCCUCACCCC
This is a long non-coding RNA of Gasterosteus aculeatus aculeatus (three-spined stickleback), 510 nucleotides long. Lineage: Eukaryota; Metazoa; Chordata; Actinopteri; Perciformes; Gasterosteidae. The record is from Ensembl.